RNAcentral lists this small RNA (2561 nucleotides) under Pan troglodytes (chimpanzee). RNAcentral describes it as "retained intron". Lineage: Eukaryota; Metazoa; Chordata; Mammalia; Primates; Hominidae. The record is from RNAcentral.
ACCUGAGCGCCCUUCUGCCUGGAAAGUUUGUGGCUAGGCGCCAUGGCCAAGAGCAGCUCCCUGAAUGUUCGCGUGGUGGAGGGCCGCGCGCUGCCUGCCAAGGACGUGUCUGGGAGCAGCGACCCCUACUGCCUAGUGAAAGUGGACGACGAGGUGGUGGCCAGGACAGCUACUGUCUGGAGGAGCCUGGGCCCCUUCUGGGGGGAGGAGUACACGGUGCACCUGCCUCUGGAUUUCCACCAGCUGGCCUUCUACGUGCUGGAUGAGGACACUGUCGGGCACGACGACAUCAUCGGCAAGAUCUCGCUGAGCAGGGAGGCGAUUACAGCCGACCCCCGAGGGAUUGACAGCUGGAUUAACUUGAGCCGAGUGGACCCAGAUGCAGAAGUGCAGGGUGAGAUCUGCCUGUCAGUGCAGAUGCUGGAGGAUGGGCAGGGCCGCUGCCUUCGCUGCCAUGUGCUUCAGGCCAGGGACCUGGCUCCCAGAGACAUCUCUGGCACAUCUGACCCAUUUGCACGUGUGUUUUGGGGCAGCCAGAGCUUGGAGACCUCAGUGAGUGGUGGGGGAUGAAACCAGGAAGGAGUGGGGCAUUUGGUGGUGGGGCAGGAGUCCCCAUCAGCUCUCCCACUCACAGACCACUUCCUUCGCCCUCAGACCAUCAAGAAGACUCGCUUCCCGCACUGGGAUGAAGUGCUGGAGCUGCGGGAGAUGCCAGGUGCCCCGUCCCCACUGCGGGUGGAGCUCUGGGACUGGGACAUGGUGGGCAAGAAUGACUUCUUGGGCAUGGUGGAGUUCUCUCCAAAGACCCUCCAGCAGAAGCCACCUAACGGCUGGUUCCGCCUCCUGCCCUUUCCCAGAGCCGAGGAGGAUUCUGGGGGGACCCUGGGUGCCCUGCGAGUGAAGGUACGCCUGAUUGAGGACCGCGUCCUGCCCUCCCAGUGCUACCAGCCUCUCAUGGAGCUGCUCAUGGAGUCUGUGCAGGGGCCAGCAGAGGAGGACACUGCUAGCCCCUUGGCUUUGCUGGAAGAGCUGACCUUGGGGGACUGCCGCCAGGACCUUGCCACCAAGCUGGUGAAACUCUUUCUUGGCCGGGGACUGGCUGGGCGCUUUCUGGACUAUCUCACCCGGCGUGAGGUGGCUCGGACCAUGGACCCCAACACCCUCUUCCGUUCUAACUCCCUGGCAUCCAAGUCGAUGGAACAGUUUAUGAAGCUCGUGGGCAUGCCCUACCUGCACGAGGUCCUGAAGCCUGUGAUUAGCCGCGUCUUUGAGGAGAAGAAGUACAUGGAGCUGGAUCCCUGCAAGAUGGACCUGGGCCGCACCCGGAGGAUCUCCUUCAAAGGCGCACUCUCGGAGGAGCAGAUGCGGGAGACCAGCCUGGGGCUGCUGACGGGCUACCUGGGGCCCAUCGUGGACGCCAUCGUGGGCUCCGUGGGGCGCUGCCCGCCCGCCAUGCGCCUCGCCUUCAAGCAGCUGCACCGGCGCGUGGAGGAGCGCUUCCUCCAGGCAGAGCACCAGCAGGAUGUGAAGUACCUGGCCAUCAGCGGAUUUCUCUUCUUGCGAUUCUUCGCGCCUGCCAUCCUUACCCCAAAGCUGUUUGACCUUCGGGACCAACACGCGGACCCCCAGACUAGCCGCUCACUGCUGUUGCUUGCCAAGGCUGGAGUGCAGUGGCACGAUCUUGGCUUACUGCAACCUCUGCCUCCUCGGUUCAAGUGAUCUUCCCACCUCAGCUUCUGGAGUAGCUGGAUUUACAGGCGUGAGCCACCACGACCAGCUAAUUUUUGCAUUUUUAGUAGAGAUGAGGUAUCGCCAUGUUGGCCAGGCUGGUCACAAGCUCCUGACCUCAACUGAUCCGCUUACUUCGGCCUCCCAAAGUGCUGGGAUUACAGGCGUGAGCCACUGUGCCCGGCAAUAUGAGUCUUCUUUUAUUGAGCACUGAUUUGGGAGCCAGGAGGGGCCCUACCCUCUGCUGUGACCUUGGCCCCGGCAUCCCUCGCUUCUUUGCUCCAGGCUGUGCAGAGCAUCGGAAACCUGGGCCAGCAGCUGGGCCAAGGCAAGGAACUGUGGAUGGCCCCCCUGCACCCCUUCCUGCUGCAGUGUGUCUCACGUGUGAGAGACUUCCUGGACCGGCUGGUGGAUGUGGAUGGGGAUGAAGAAGCUGGUGUCCCAGCCAGGGCCCUGUUCCCGCCCUCGGCCAUUGUUCGAGAAGGCUAUCUGCUGAAGCGCAAGGAGGAGCCUGCCGGCCUGGCCACGCGCUUUGCCUUCAAGAAGCGCUACGUCUGGCUCAGCGGGGAGACCCUCUCCUUCUCCAAGAGUCCUGAGUGGCAGGCUGAAAUUGCUGGAGGAUUCUAACAUGGAUACAACUCUGGAGGCAGACACAGGGGCCUGUCCUGAGGUCCUGGCCCGGCAAAGAGCAGCAACUGCCCGCUUGCUGGAGGUGCUCGCAGACCUGGAUCGUGCCCACGAGGAGUUCCAGCAGCAAGAGCAAGGGAAGGCGGCCCUGGGCCCCCUUGGCCCCUAAGGAAAUGCCAGAGCUAGCCCGGAAGGAGGAGCAAGAG